RNAcentral lists this ribosomal RNA (350 nucleotides) under uncultured bacterium. RNAcentral's name for it is "bacterial SSU rRNA". It matches the Rfam family "Bacterial small subunit ribosomal RNA", at positions 355 to 721 of the family's 1533-position model. The record is from RNAcentral.
UGGGGAAUAUUGGACAAUGGGGGAAACCCUGAUCCAGCCAUGCCGCGUGAGUGAUGAAGGCCUUAGGGUUGUAAAGCUCUUUCACCGCCGAGGAUAAUGACGGUAGGCGGAGAAGAAGCCCCGGCUAACUUCGUGCCAGCAGCCGCGGUAAUACGAAGGGGGCUAGCGUUGUCCGGAAAUUACUGGGCGUAAAGCGUGCGUAGGCGGACUGCCAAGCCAGAGGUGAAAUCCCAGGGCUCAACCCUGGAACUGCCUUUGGAACUGGUAGUCUAGAGACUCGGAGGGGGUAGUGGAAUUCCUAAUGUAGGAGUGAAAUCCGUAGAUAUUAGGAGGAACACCGGUGGCGAAGG